AGCCAAGCAACCAACCAGACUAUGACAGUAUUAGAAGAGUCUAAGCGAUCACACAUGUAACUCCAAGAAUCGGAAAGAAUAGUUCAUUGAGAUGCCCUGCCCAAUAUCAUUGAAUAACUAACAAGAAAAAAAUAAGCUCCUACAUUCAGCAAUAUAAAGCUAGCAUAGUUGGCACCCCAAAUUGAAGAAUCAUUCUGCAUCCUGGAAAGGACAAUAGCAGCAAGUGUUGUGCAGGUCAAAUUACCAUGCAACAAAACCAUGAUAUGCAUCAUGUGACAGUAGCAUCGUUUAAGGGAAAAUACUCUACCAGGAGAUUGAUAGGAUACAUGCUGAUGACCACAUUGCUUCGACAGGUAUCCAUUGGAAUCUCAAGUACAUCGUACAGUGUUGUAUUAUCGAGUUCCAUAAUGUGGUCAGCUGUAAGCUUGCUGAUGAAAACAGCCUGGAAGUUUUGAAGUGCUGAUGUAGAUUCCUCACAAAGGUCAAACCCAGUUAGCAGUUACUUCUAUGCAACCCAGUUUGAUGUUACCAAAAGGAUCAAAGUAAUUCAAGGCAUGUGAACUAAACCAAGAGGCAGCAGGGAAGAACAUGUAUGUGUCUACCUGCGGAUGAUCGUCAAGAUUAGGUCGGAUGAAGGGUGUCCUCACACAACACAUGUUUGAUGAGACGCCGACAUCCUCAUACAUCUCUCUUGUUUAAGUUUU
This 704-nucleotide long non-coding RNA is filed under the name Triticum aestivum (bread wheat). Its description in RNAcentral is "long non-coding RNA (TAES_LNC014540)". The record is from RNAcentral. Lineage: Eukaryota; Viridiplantae; Streptophyta; Magnoliopsida; Poales; Poaceae.